This 87-nucleotide transfer RNA is filed under the name Acidobacteriota bacterium. RNAcentral describes it as "Acidobacteria bacterium (soil metagenome) tRNA-Ser". It matches the Rfam family "tRNA". From Rfam's summary of the family: Transfer RNA (tRNA) molecules are approximately 80 nucleotides in length. Their secondary structure includes four short double-helical elements and three loops (D, anti-codon, and T loops). RNAcentral also lists the same sequence under 2 other names. Lineage: Bacteria; Pseudomonadati; Acidobacteriota. The record is from RNAcentral.
GGAGAGAUAGCAUAAUUGGCUAAUGCAGUAGUCUUGAAAACUACCGCCCGUAAGGGCUUGCAGGUUCGAGUCCUGUUCUCUCCGCCA